Molecule: long non-coding RNA, 1111 nt
Organism: Vicia villosa (hairy vetch)
Lineage: Eukaryota; Viridiplantae; Streptophyta; Magnoliopsida; Fabales; Fabaceae
Exons: 3
Source: RefSeq, a predicted model, not a curated record
CUCACUCUCUACCAUUAGUGCCUCACUCUCUCAUGUUUCUCUCUCUCAACUCUCAGCUCAACUCUGGAUCGAUAUCUCUCUCGGCUCUAUCUCAUGGUCUCUCUGCUACCGAUUCUUCACUCCCUUUGCUAUCACCGAUCCAACUCUCUCUAUCAUCAUCGUUUUGUUUCGAAUUCAGUAACAGCAAACAUACAAACCUUCAAUGUUACCCUUUAUCCCAAACAAACCCUAAGCCCCAAUUCGUUAUUGAUUUUCGGUGAUUUCAAGAGUAUAUUUACAAGUGAAUCAAAGCAAUUGCAAGGAAAAUAACAACGGGAAUGGAAAGCGGGACCUACAGAUGAUCUUCUUCAGGCAGAUCUAGGUGCAGAUUGGCUCCGGUGUGACAGACGAGAAGAUGAUUUGAGUAGUCGUCCCGGUUCCAUAGUCCAUUUAUUUUAAAGCUAUAUCUUUGGGACAGCUUGAUGAUGUGAUAGAUCUUGUGGUCCCUAGAGGAAGUAAUAAGCUGGUUUCUCAAAUCAAGGAGUCAACAAGAAUCCCUGUUCUUGGUCAUGCUGGUAAUAUAUCGUAUAUAAAAUAUAAAUUUACUAAUUUUACAUUUGAACUUUGAAUUGAUGAGCAGUUCAAACCAUAUUUAUGUAUUUUUGAUGAGUUCUCUAUUUGUGUACGGAAUGCAUGAGAGGGGCCAUGAUUAUUAUAAUGGAAUUACCAAGGAGCAAUUCAAGAAAAUGCAGGAAUUCAUAGCAGGAAGAAGUUCCAAGAAGCAGUCCAAACUAUAGGUUUUGUUUUGAUGAGUUCAUAUUGUUUUGUUUUGUUUCUCAUUGUUUCUCAUUAUUUUCACCGCGUCGGAACUCAAACGGCUACUGUGGCUCCCUUCAUUUUCAGGGGUAUCUCUUUAAAAUAACAAGUAGUUACUCUUUCAUUUCGCAUCACGCCUUGGUUUUCCUAUAGUACAUGUUAGGAUUGAUAACUAGGAUUAGGGCAUUCAAUUUUGUACCAUCUGGAAAUUGGAAGUAGAUUUUUGAAUCCGUCAAAUUGCUAGUGUAUAUUGUGAGUAAAUGUUAAAUUAGAUGAAAAUGUCAUUGUGAGAGAUCUAUGCACUUUUACUAGCAGC